This 403-nucleotide ribosomal RNA is filed under the name uncultured bacterium. RNAcentral describes it as "partial 16S ribosomal RNA". It matches the Rfam family "Bacterial small subunit ribosomal RNA", at positions 30 to 526 of the family's 1533-position model. The record is from RNAcentral.
AUUGAACGCUGGCGGCAUGCUUACACAUGCAAGUCGGACGAGUGGCGAACGGGUGAGUAAUACAUCGGAACGUGUCCAGUAGUGGGGGAUAGCCCGGCGAAAGACGGUUAAUACCGCAUACUACAGGGGCGGCAGCUGGCGUAGUAGGUAGUUGGGGGGGUAAAGGCCUACCAAUCCGACGAUCUGUAGCUGGUCUGAGAGGAAGACCAGCCACAUGGGGACGGAGACACGGCCCAGACUCCUACGGGAGGCAGCAGUGGGGAAUUUUGGACAAUGGGGGCAACCCUGAUCCAGCAAUGCCGCGUGUGUGAAUAAGGCUUCGGGUUGUAAAGCACUUUUGUCCGGAAAGCGGUACCGGAAGAAUAAGCACCGGCUAACUACGUGCCAGCAGCCGCGGUAAUAC